This 594-nucleotide ribosomal RNA is filed under the name Phomopsis mali. RNAcentral's name for it is "eukaryotic LSU rRNA". The stretch from base 236 to 389 matches the Rfam family "5.8S ribosomal RNA". The record is from RNAcentral. Lineage: Eukaryota; Fungi; Ascomycota; Sordariomycetes; Diaporthales; Diaporthaceae.
UAGAGGAAGUAAAAGUCGUAACAAGGUCUCCGUUGGUGAACCAGCGGAGGGAUCAUUGCUGGAACGCGCCCCAGGCGCACCCAGAAACCCUUUGUGAACUUAUACCUUACUGUUGCCUCGGCGCUAGCUGGUCCUUCGGGGCCCCUCACCCUCGGGUGUUGAGACAGCCCGCCGGCGGCCAACCCAACUCUUGUUUUUACACUGAAACUCUGAGAAUAAAACAUAAAUGAAUCAAAACUUUCAACAACGGAUCUCUUGGUUCUGGCAUCGAUGAAGAACGCAGCGAAAUGCGAUAAGUAAUGUGAAUUGCAGAAUUCAGUGAAUCAUCGAAUCUUUGAACGCACAUUGCGCCCUCUGGUAUUCCGGAGGGCAUGCCUGUUCGAGCGUCAUUUCAACCCUCAAGCCUGGCUUGGUGAUGGGGCACUGCUUUUACCCAAGAGCAGGCCCUGAAAUUCAGUGGCGAGCUCGCCAGGACCCCGAGCGCAGUAGUUAAACCCUCGCUCUGGAAGGCCCUGGCGGUGCCCUGCCGUUAAACCCCCAACUUCUGAAAAUUGACCUCGGAUCAGGUAGGAAUACCCGCUGAACUUAAGCAUA